CAAAGGAAUUGGACGGGGAGCACCACAACGGGUGGAGCUUGCGGUUUUAAUUGGAUUCAACGCCGGAAUCUUACCGGGACCGACAGCAAUAUGAAGGCCAGGCUGAAGACUUUGCCGGAUUAGCUGAGAGGUGGUGCAUGGCCGUCGUCAGUUCGUACUGUGAAGCAUCCUGUUAAGUCAGGCAACGAGCGAGACCCACGCCCACAGUUGCCAGCGUACUCUCUGGAGUGACGGGUACACUGUGGGACCGCCGCUGCUAAAGCGGAGGAAGGAAUGGGCAACGGUAGGUCAGUAUGCCCCGAAUAUCCCGGGCUACACGCGAGCUACAAUGGUUGGUACAAUGGGUAUCUACCCGAAAGGGGACGGGAAUCUCCUAAAACCAAUCUUAGUUCGGAUUGAGGGCUGCAACUCGCCCUCAUGAAGCUGGAAUCCGUAGUAAUCGCGUUUCAACAGAACGCGGUGAAUACGUCCCUGCUCCUU
Molecule: ribosomal RNA, 480 nt
Filed under: uncultured Methanosaeta sp.
Lineage: Archaea; Methanobacteriati; Methanobacteriota; Methanomicrobia; Methanotrichales; Methanotrichaceae
Description: bacterial SSU rRNA
Rfam family: Archaeal small subunit ribosomal RNA
Source: RNAcentral